AUGCUAAUGCUGUCAGUCUUUGAUCGGCAUGAGAGCAAGAGAUACUUCCUAAACUUGGUCACUUGGUGCAUUUAACAACAUCUGACAAAUCUGGGGAAAAUGUUAACUGUGGAAGCUAAGUCUGGACAACACAAUGAGAGGUCAUUAUCAAGACAAAUGGAAUCUCCGGGCGCGCCAACAUACCUGUCCCACUCUAUUGAAGAUAUACUGAAAAGACCUUCCUGUUUGGCUGAGAGGGAAAUGCAGAAGACUGAAGAGAACAGGUCAGAACAUACUUGGACACCCAAUAGAAAGGACGACCUCAAAUCUAGCCAAUAUGCAGUGUGUCAGCAAGGUCACAGAAGGGUGCGGGCCACAUUCACAAUGGCUCAGCUUGAGGAACUAGAAAGAGUUUUUCAAGACACUCACUACCCAGACGUUCAUACCAGAGACUGGCUGGCCACACGCACCCAGCUGUCCGAGGGGAGAGUUCAAAUCUGGUUCCAGAACAGAAGAGCCAAGUGGAGACGGAAUGAAGUGCAGGAAAGAAACCGCGUCCAACUGGACUACACCACGAGAAAAUGCACAUACCCUCUCAAGCCUUCCUGUUUCUUCACACCAGUAAGCACUCUCCUUCACCUGUUUCUAUCUAUGCUGCUGGCACUGUGUAGUCAUAAAUAUUGUAUUUUUAUCUCCCAAAGCCAAUUAUUAUUUAGUAAAGCCUCCCCUGGAGAGAAUAACAAGCACUGAGAAUUUUCCUGUAAUGUCUAACAAGAUUGUAGACAUUUGUAGAGGGACUUUGCACUUCUCCAUGCAGAACACUUUAAGCUCCUUUAUAUUAGGUUUGCACAUGUGGAUUGUCCUCUUCAACAGGACUUAAACAGGCUCCAAACCCAGAGGCUGAAAUGGUCAUCGCAAAAUAUGGAGCAACCAGAAGCAUCACCUUCCUGCAUCAUUCUAUCCUCCCGUUCCUCUGUCUGAGAUCCGUACCCAAGAGCUGCACCCCUUUGUUGGGUCUCAUCAGUUCCAUGGGCUGCCAUACCAGCCAUGGUUCUCAAACUAUAGACCUCAUCAUGCCAACACACACAGCAAGAGGAUGCAUCUUGCAUCUCAUUUACUGCUUUAUUAAAAUGUGUGCAAAGACUGUAUGGAGAAUUGACAUGGGAAUGUUAUUAUGUGCACAGCAUUGCUUUUGACAAUCGGUGUGUGUGUGUGUGCGUGUGUGCGUGUGCGCGCGUGUGUGCGUGUGCGCGCGUGUGUGUGUGUGUGCGUGUGUGCGUGUGGGUGUGGGUGUCUUUUGAGCUGUAAAUCACUUGAUUAAUCAGAUUAAAGUUUUUACACAGGCAAUCUAUAUGGCAUUGCAGUUGACAAUUCUGUAUCUCUAAGGAUUAUAAGAAGCCAACUAUUUAUAAUGUAGUAAAUUAACCCAGUUAACACCAGUUAACAUAUUUUCAGGCAAAAAAAUGCACAGUUCAGUGAAUAUUCUUUGUGUGUGUGUGUGUGUGUGUGUGUGUGUUGUAUAGAAUACUGUAAAAAAGACAACAAUUUCAAUUAUGAUAAUGCUUAAUAUGUCCUAUUUUUGACAUAUAUCCAACCAUAGCAGAUAAGAUGUCUUCUUCUUCUUCUUCUUUUUCUUCUUAUUCAGUAUUCUUCAGUAGUAGUGGCGUUUCACAUGAAUUUUGUUGCUGACUUUUCCAAUUAUCCCUGAAUUGGUUUAUUGCCACUCUAAUAAAAUGGCUUAUCUUAAUAUGCAUUGGUUCAUGUCAUGAUAGGGUGAUAGAUUAGGUCACAUGCCACAUUCAGUCUACAACUAAACCAUAACUUAUUUCAGAACAGACAGAGCAAGAUGACAAAGAAUUAAUACCACAAUGGUAUUUUAAUGGUAUUUUCCUAUUUCAAAAUAGGAAAAAAAAAAUCACUACAGUGAACAACAAUAAAAACUUAAUGGACACCAGGAACGAAACACAUUUUUUCUGCAUGACAAGGCUAGGUUGUUCCAACUGAAUGAGAAUCAGGUUAAGUAGGUAUAUUGGUCAGCUUCUUGCUAAAAAAAAAAAAAACCCUUCUUGGAUAGGUUUUUUUUUUUUUGUGGUAGUGAGAUGAAGCUAUGAAAAAAAUGUACUGUGGGUAUUUACCAAAUAGAUUCACUACAUGAAGCCUUACAAGCUACUUGAAUGUUUUAGUUUGACUGUUGCCUCUCCCUGAUUCUAAGAUUAUUCAUCCACUGCAGCUAUAUAAACUGACUGUAUUAUUGUUUGUCAGUAACUAGUAGAUUUUCUUAUAUGGCUGUGUACUAUUUCUAAAACCUCUCUGCCUAAACACCAAAACAAUAUAAUAAAGAUCUCUUUCACCUUCACUAAAAUGUGCCA
Molecule: RNA transcript, 2348 nt
Organism: Pangasianodon hypophthalmus (striped catfish)
Lineage: Eukaryota; Metazoa; Chordata; Actinopteri; Siluriformes; Pangasiidae
Gene name: intestine-specific homeobox
Exons: 4
Source: RefSeq, a predicted model, not a curated record